Molecule: long non-coding RNA, 809 nt
Filed under: Olea europaea (common olive)
Lineage: Eukaryota; Viridiplantae; Streptophyta; Magnoliopsida; Lamiales; Oleaceae
Description: long non-coding RNA (OEUR_LNC015296)
Source: RNAcentral
UCAUCAUGAUUAUAAUCCUUGGUUUUCCAUGGACUUCACAUGUAGCACACAAUUUGCACUCCAAAAGUGUCCCUUGAAAACCCCAAAUAUAACUCCACCACACGUUACGAAAAAACCAGUCCACUAACCCUGCCCUGCUUCGUCCCCGCUAUUCUUUUGCUAGGUUUUAAUUUUCCCUUUCUGCCACUUUCAUCGUGAUUCACACACUCUAUGCCCUAUAUAAUUCAAUUUCUCCUUUGAUUUUUCGUUUUGGACCUGGUACAUGUCCACUCACCCCAUAAAAUAAUAUCUGCCUUUAGCACGAAACAAUUUCUAGUAAAAAUAAUCCAAAAUUAACACCCCUAAAUCAAAACCCCCAGUGCAAAAAUUAAAUCUUGAUCUUGAGUUCUAAGGUAACACACCUACAAAUUCCUUUCUGUAAAUUUAUGAUUUAUCUUAGGCAUGCCAUUGUUAUGUUCUAUAUAGAUAUAGAUACAUACACAUAUAUGUAACAUUGGCAAAAAUGUCGCCUGUGCGUGUAACCUGCUAGAGCUCCUUUCAUGCCCAAAAAUGGUGAUCCAGAAGGAAAAAAAUAAUACCAUUUUUCCCAAUUAAUUUGAUUUAAUCUUAAAUAUUCUUUCUUGGGUUUUCAUUAUGAAAACUCAAUUUUUCGUACAGUGGGUUCAGAGAAUUUGGAACUCCUAUGCUAUUUUUGGUGUAUACUUUCUUUUUACAUUUUCUGAUCCUGGCUAAAUUAUUCUUUAAUUUUGCUUGGGUUUUUUAAUUUUAACUUUAAUUAGGCUCUUUUAGGGUUUAAUUUGAUGCNNNNN